Molecule: ribosomal RNA, 433 nt
Filed under: uncultured bacterium
Lineage: Bacteria
Description: partial 16S ribosomal RNA
Rfam family: Bacterial small subunit ribosomal RNA
Source: RNAcentral
AACGAACGCUGGCGGCAUGCCUAACACAUGCAAGUCGAACGAGACCUUCGGGUCUAGUGGCGCACGGGUGCGUAACGCGUGGGAACCUGCCCUUAAGUUCGGAAUACCUCCCCGAAAGGUGUGCUAAUACCGGAGAAUGUCAUCGGACCAAAGAUUUCUCGCUGUUGGCUGGGCCCGCGUUGGAUUCGCUGGUUGGUAGGGUAAAAGCAUGCCAUGGCGACGAUCCAUAGCUGGUCGGAGAGGAUGAUCAGCCACACUGGGACUAAGACACGGCCCAGACUGCGACGGGAGGCAGGAGUGGGGAAUAUUGGGGGAGGAGCGAUAGCCUGAUACAGCAAUGUCGGGUGAGUGAUGAAGGCCUUAGGGUUGUAAAGCUGCUUUACCCGGGAUGAUAAUGACAGUACCGGGAGAAUAAGCUCCGGCUAACUCCGUG